Molecule: non-coding RNA, 19 nt
Filed under: Mus musculus (house mouse)
Lineage: Eukaryota; Metazoa; Chordata; Mammalia; Rodentia; Muridae
Source: RNAcentral
AAGGGAUGGUUUUGUGUAG